CACGUAGGGUGCGAGCGUUGUCCGGAAUUAUUGGGCGUAAAGAGCUCGUAGGCGGUGUGUCACGUCGGCCGUGAAAACCUGCAGCUUAACUGUGGGCGUGCGGUCGAUACGGGCAUCACUGGAGUUCGGCAGGGGAGACUGGAAUUCCUGGUGUAGCGGUGAAAUGCGCAGAUAUCAGGAGGAACACCCGUGGCGAAGGCGGUUCUCUGGGACGGUACUGACGCUGAGGUGCGAAAGCGUGGGGAGCAAACAGG
This 254-nucleotide ribosomal RNA is filed under the name uncultured bacterium. RNAcentral's name for it is "partial 16S ribosomal RNA". It matches the Rfam family "Bacterial small subunit ribosomal RNA", at positions 524 to 776 of the family's 1533-position model. The record is from RNAcentral.